GGUUAAGCGACUAAGCGUACACGGUGGAUGCCCUGGCAGUCAGAGGCGAUGAAGGGCGUGCUAAUCUGCGAUAAGCGCCGGUAAGGUGAUAUGAACCGUUAUAACCGGCGAUUCCCGAAUGGGGAAACCCAGUGUGAUUCGUCACACUAUCAUUAACUGAAUCCAUAGGUUAAUGAGGCGAACCGGGGGAACUGAAACAUCUAAGUACCCCGAGGAAAAGAAAUCAACCGAGAUUCCCCCAGUAGCGGCGAGCGAACGGGGAGGAGCCCAGAGCCUGAAUCAGCAUGUGUGUUAGUGGAAGCGUCUGGAAAGGUGCGCGAUACAGGGUGACAGCCCCGUACACAAAAGCGCAUGUGCUGUGAGCUCGAUGAGUAGGGCGGGACACGUGGUAUCCUGUCUGAAUAUGGGGGGACCAUCCUCCAAGGCUAAAUACUCCUGACUGACCGAUAGUGAACCAGUACCGUGAGGGAAAGGCGAAAAGAACCCCGGCGAGGGGAGUGAAAAAGAACCUGAAACCGUGUACGUACAAGCAGUGGGAGCACAGGUUUACCUGUGUGACUGCGUACCUUUUGUAUAAUGGGUCAGCGACUUAUAUUCUGUAGCAAGGUUAACCGAAUAGGGGAGCCGGAGGGAAACCGAGUCUUAAUUGGGCGUUAAGUUGCAGGGUAUAGACCCGAAACCCGGUGAUCUAGCCAUGGGCAGGUUGAAGGUUGGGUAACACUAACUGGAGGACCGAACCGACUAAUGUUGAAAAAUUAGCGGAUGACCUGUGGCU
RNAcentral lists this ribosomal RNA (775 nucleotides) under Salmonella enterica subsp. enterica serovar 1,4,[5],12:i:-. Its description in RNAcentral is "partial 23S ribosomal RNA". It matches the Rfam family "Bacterial large subunit ribosomal RNA", at positions 1 to 816 of the family's 2925-position model. The record is from RNAcentral. Lineage: Bacteria; Pseudomonadati; Pseudomonadota; Gammaproteobacteria; Enterobacterales; Enterobacteriaceae.